GCCAGCGUGGUGUAGUGGUUUGCAUGCUGGACUAUGACUCUGGAGAGCAAGGUUCAAGUCCCAGAUUGGCC
This is a non-coding RNA of Phrynosoma platyrhinos (Desert horned lizard), 71 nucleotides long. NCBI's taxonomy places the organism in Eukaryota, Metazoa, Chordata, Lepidosauria, Squamata, Phrynosomatidae. The record is from the annotation of a GenBank genome assembly.